This 253-nucleotide ribosomal RNA is filed under the name uncultured bacterium. Its description in RNAcentral is "partial 16S ribosomal RNA". It matches the Rfam family "Bacterial small subunit ribosomal RNA", at positions 524 to 776 of the family's 1533-position model. The record is from RNAcentral.
AACGUAGGAGACAAACGUUAUCCGGAGUUACUGGGCGUAAAGGGCGCGUAGGUGGCCCGGUCAGCGUGCGGUGAAAGCUCGGGGCUCAACCCCGAGUCGGCCGUGCGAACUGCUGGGCUCGAGCACUGUAGAGGCAGGCGGAAUUCCGGGUGUAGCGGUGGAAUGCGUAGAGAUCCGGAAGAACACCGGUGGCGAAGGCGGCCUGCUGGGCAGUGGCUGACACUGAGGCGCGACAGCGUGGGGAGCAAACAGG